RNAcentral lists this long non-coding RNA (1976 nucleotides) under Setaria italica (foxtail millet). Its description in RNAcentral is "long non-coding RNA (SITA_LNC000105)". The record is from RNAcentral. Lineage: Eukaryota; Viridiplantae; Streptophyta; Magnoliopsida; Poales; Poaceae.
UGCUGAGUAGGAGCAUUUCGAAAGUCAAGCCUUGUUGCUUGCUCAUGGGCUGAGCUUUACCAUAUCAGGAACAGUCUGGACCACAAUUGCAGCAAAUGAGCAGCCACUAGUUUACUUAUCCUCACAUAACUUUAACAUUGCUCGAUACUUUACAUUACAGUUCAAGUACAUGGCAAAUGUAAGGUAGCUACAAGCCUAAGCUACCUACACAUCUUAAUCUUGGGGUUGAAUAUGUGUCCUUUGGCACUCCUCCACAGCUUUUAUCAGAAUUGACCUCUCUCUACGAAGAGCAUUCACUUCGUCGAUCAAUGCUUCCAAUCUCAGCUUCACCAAAAAAUACAAAAAAUUCGCAAUACCAAACAUCACAAAGGAAGCUACUUUGGUGAGAGUUAGCAAUGAUGCAACCUCUGCCCUGACCUGGAGCUGGUGGCUGCCUGUGUAGCAUGGACACUUGGUAGCCUAUAGAGGCUCGGUCUGCGGCCAGGCGGCGGUGCGUUUCGCACAGCUGUGUCACCGGGACACCGGCCUCCCUAGCGUGGUGGCUUUUUGCAGGCCUCGCGCGGCAAUGGCGGCCUUGCCAAGAACGAAGAUGGUGGCCCUCCUCCUGCGGGAGUCUUCGAAGGAAACUCUGCCCAGAUCCUAGUCGGGCAGCGGUGGCAGCGAUGUCGCAUCCCCCCUGGAGGCGCUGUCUAGAAGACCCUAUCGCUUUGGGGGCUACUGGCUUGGGUGUCUCGCUUCGGCCAUCCUAGCUGCACUGCGAGUCAUUGAUCACCUCACCAAAGGCGUGUCUACGUUGUGUGGUGGUUUGGUCGGCGACGGCGAAGGUGCAGCCGCGACAAGCUUGUUAGUAGAGUGAGUUUGGUUAGUAGAGGGGACUAGUAGAGUUAGUUAGCGGAGUAGAGUUAGUUUAGCGGAGAGAUGUCUAUAUUUGUGCACCAACUUGUAAGCUGGUAACCCCUUCAGUAAUUAAACCGGGCGGAUGCCUUUGAUCGGAAAAAAAACAAUAUAUAAUGAAAGAAAUCGAAUACAUAGAUGUAAUGUACUCUAGUCAAUGUAGCUCCGGUUUGUUUCUAUAUUAGAAUAUAUCUAUUAAAUCCAACAUAUAUUAUCAUACUACAAAAGUAUUUCAUAGAAACUUCUGUCCAUAUGAUGUUUAUAUUUGAAAAGUAAAUAUCUAGAAGUUACCGACAGCCAAAGUUUGACCAUACCUUUCAAGAUGUCGAAUUUGUGGCUAGCUUAGAGGGAUUAAACCGUAUUGCAGUAAUCUAUUAUAUAUCUGAUUCUGCGGGAAUACACUGUAAUCACUUAAACAUAAACACAAUCAUUUUACUUUUGUUUUUCCCCCUUUGAUCAGUUGAAACUUGCAAAGAGAAGACUAACGGUGGCAACAAAGAUCAUUACGUGGGAGUACUCUCUCUCUCAAAAAAAUUAUUCAUGCCAUACCUUAUACAUCCAACUAUCCCUUAGGCACAAGCGUAUACUAAAAGCAUGACAAGAGGCCCAAGAUUUUCGGCCACACCAAUCCAGUAAAGGUGGAACGAUUUAAGAGGUGGUCAAUCGGGUACUAGGUUCUUGAGAAAGAAAGAAGCUGGUUUGAAUGGGCCACACGUACAUGCGCAUGAUAUCUGGGAUGAAAUACAAGAGCCGGUUGUAGGAGAUGCGUACCUUGUUAUUGAUUGGCGGCGGCGGCGUUGAUCCGCUAGGUGCAGAAGAAGAAGAGCUAUGAUGACGGGAGCCUGUUGGCCAAGUUCGGCGGGCACGGAGUCCAUAUCGCAAGAGAUGAUGUUGACGAAGCGGCGGUGCGUGGGGGGCGACGACGGCCAUCCCCAUCUUGGUCGCCGCAGAUCGAAGGAGCGCGGCCCCUGCCGCUGCGGCCACGAAAGUAUGAAACGAUCGAUCCCUCCCUUGGCCGGCGAGUAACGAGGGACGAAAGAAAUCCCGAGACGUAUCUCUCUACGAGCACUCCCCAAAUCUGC